Molecule: transfer RNA, 73 nt
Filed under: Stegodyphus mimosarum
Lineage: Eukaryota; Metazoa; Arthropoda; Arachnida; Araneae; Eresidae
Rfam family: tRNA
About the family: Transfer RNA (tRNA) molecules are approximately 80 nucleotides in length. Their secondary structure includes four short double-helical elements and three loops (D, anti-codon, and T loops).
Source: Rfam by way of RNAcentral
GCCUUCGCGGUAUAAUGGUCAGUACACUCGAACCGUAUUCGAGAAGUUCGAGGUUCGAGUCCCGGCCAAGGCA